This is a long non-coding RNA of Xyrauchen texanus (razorback sucker), 2785 nucleotides long. RefSeq lists it as uncharacterized. Lineage: Eukaryota; Metazoa; Chordata; Actinopteri; Cypriniformes; Catostomidae. The transcript is spliced from 4 exons. The record is from RefSeq and is a predicted model, not a curated record.
GCAUGCAGUUGUUUCAUGUUGUCUCGCUUCUCUAGUUUGAACGCUCUCUCUCUGUCUUUCAUGAUUUCUGGUACGAUACGAAGUUUAACUCCGUUUUACAAGUUUAUCGUUUAACACAAGACAGGUCGCCGUUAUCGCUCUUUUCAGCCGAAAGUGGUUUAUCAACGACUAAAACACUCAAGCAGAGGUAUCCGUCUCUACACCAUUAUGAUUUUCACCAUGGCUAACAACACUGCACCCACUGCAACAGACGUUGCACCAACAACAGCAGCUCCACAGCAAACAGACUCAACUGUCAUAGGAGUGGUCAUUGCACUUGUGCUGGUGACACUUGCCAUCUGUGGGUUCUUGUUGUACCGAUACCUGUGCCACAACAAGGGAGUUUACCGAACUGCAGGUGAGCCUGCUCCAGGAGUGGACCCAGAUCAGGUCUACAAUGACACCGUCACUGAAAACAAGAAGGAAUACUUCAUUUGAACUGCUUAACAUGGAAGGAUUCCAUCAAAGAUCAGCCAAAUCAUUCAUGGACUGCUGCAGACAUCUUAAUAGUCUAUGUAGAGAGACUUAUAUGCAUGGCAUAUGGGACAGUGCAUCAGCACAGCCACUAGUCUGCGCUGUAUGGAAGACAUUUUUAGUUAAAGGGAUACAGUUUGAGUUUUAUAUGGUGCUGUUACAUUAUGAUAGGAUGAGCCAGAAGCCAAAGGAGUUGUUUACUCAUGACAUCAUUAAGCGUAAAAUGGUUGUGGUUCCUCCUUUAAUUCUGGUUUGAUAAAAUUACUGACAGUUACUGUGACAAUCAUCAUGAUGGUACUCUUGUCAAAUUGUUAUGCCUACAGGUAUAUGUAGUCUAUAGUCCAUUAAAAUAAGCGAUAUAUUUGCUGCUUUAGCAUAAAUGCCAGGAAUGUUAAAGGCAAAUGUGAGAUUGUAUACUAUCAAAGGCAGCAUAAUGUUUAAAUGAGUUUUCAAGACAUUAUUUAUUAUUACCUUGAAGGAUUUCAGCUAAGUGGCACUGAACCAAAUAAAAGCCAAACAUUGCAGGCACUCUACCAAUUUGGCUUUAUAUUAGAUUCUUAUUCGAUAUUUGGAGUCAUAUGGCUUGAACUAAUUUGAGACUCUUAAAGGUGUUAUCCUCUUUUGCCUUGGACCAGCCAGUCUUUAUAUUGUUUUGGGUUUGUAAUCGAUAGCAGCAUUUUCUUUUUUGUGAAUCGUUGGAGAGCACUGUUACAGUGCCGUGCAAAACAUUUGAAUACAUUUUACAGUGCUUUUAAAAUUGUAAUUGGAAAUUGACACUUUUUAAAAUACAAUUUAGAAAAGUUUUGUUACAAACGAAUGCAAUAAUGUGCCAAAUGUCAAUAUUCGUCAUCAUUGUAAAUCAGAUACGCUUGGAUCAAAUAUGGAUAUACUGGACAUGUUUUUUUACACAGGGUUACGGAUCUUGGCUGUUACCAAAAUGAAUGAUUCCUGUGCUGUUUUUUGUUGUUGUUUUUUGGUCUGCAUUUCAAACCGGCAACUGUGGUUAUUGGUUAUUAUCUAUUUUAAUGGAAUAUUCCAGGUUCAAUACAAGUUAUGCUCAAUGGCCAGCAUUUGUAGAUUACCACAAAAAUCUAUUUAGACUUGUAACUCCUUUAAAAAAAAAGAAAAGGCAAAAAUCAACAGAAGUGAAUGGGGCCAGUUUUUGGAGGGUUUAAACAGAAAUGUGAAGCUUCUAAUUAAUUUUAUAAAAUGACUUAAUUAAGAAAGGUAUUAAUUAGUCUGUUAAAACGCAUGUAUUAUUUGAGCUGUAAAGUUGUUUAAAUCAUAAUUUUUGUUAUUAGGGUUUGCUGACUACAUUGUCAUGGCAACUAAGUUGUACAAUUGUCUUUUACACAGAAAAGGUUAGUAAGGGAUUUUUUCAAGUCAAGUUUACACGCAUUUCCUUUCUCUCUUGAAUAUUUUAACCUUCAGAAAUUGGCCCCCCAUUCACUUCCAUUAUAAGUGCCUCAUUGUAACCUUGAUUUUUGAGUAGGAACAAGUCUUUUAUAUAAAAAAAAAAAAAAAAGGACACAUUGAGGUUGCAGUGAGUCAUUUACAAUGGAAGUUAAUGGGGCACAUUUUUGGAGGGUUUAAAGGCAGAAAAGUGAAGCUUAUAAUUUAAUCAAAGCACUUACAUUAAUUCGUGUGUGUUAUUUGAGCAGUGAAGUUUAAAUCGUAAUUUUUACUGUCAUUAUAGGGUUUAUGGGAUUACAUCAUCAUGGCAACGAAGUUGUAAAAUUGGUUAUUUUAUCACCGUAUAAUCAUGUAAACACACAUAUCGUUCACAUCUUGUGGACAGUAAGUAUCUUUACCUUUACAGAUUGGCCCCAAUCAUGUUCAUUGUAGGUGAUUCACUGUAACCCAGAUUUGUGCUUUUUUUAUUUCUUUUGGUUGAGUCGGAAAUCAACAUUAUGCCACAGAUACUGUUGAUUGCGCUUAACUUGUAUUGAACCCAGAAUAUUCCUUUAAAUACAACUGACUAGAUAUGCACAGUUUGCUAGUUCUGACAAAUCCAGUCCAAAAUUAUUUGUAUGUUUACAAGAAAUAUAUUAGGAUUUCUGUACUCCUUUGAGGAUUUCUGAUUUGCUGUAUGCUUUGAAGCUUUCAAAGCUCUAGUCUUUAAAAUUCUACAGCGUCUGAUUGGAACACAGAUAUGAUCAGUCUCAAAAUAAAACAGGUUCAGUUGUUGCUUCAGAUUAAAAUGCAGUUAUGAAUGGAGACUAAUUUCACAUAUUGGUCAAAUACUAGCAAUAAUGUGGCGAUAAACCUCAAC